UGUAUAUCAAAAAAAAAAAAAUUAUUUAUAAUAGUAAGCGGAGAUGAACUUAGUAAUAACAAAAAUAACAGUGAGAAAAUAAAAAAUGACAAACCUCAUGACCCUAUUUACGCAUGUCACGGCGAAGAACUAUAUUCUCUCCAAGUCUGCAACCAUCCCUACAUACACCCUCCUCAUCACACUUUAUUAACUUUACCAUACCCACCAACCAAUUACAGUACUUUUACUUUCUUUUGCUCCCUCGAAUCAAUGAUGAACAAUAAUCAACGUUCACCUGCAAAAAUUCGAAACCCCAUUAUCUCCGAGAGUGUAAAAGUAAAAACUAAAAGCAACCACUAA
Molecule: non-coding RNA, 339 nt
Organism: Vicia faba (fava bean)
Lineage: Eukaryota; Viridiplantae; Streptophyta; Magnoliopsida; Fabales; Fabaceae
Source: the annotation of a GenBank genome assembly